RNAcentral lists this ribosomal RNA (467 nucleotides) under uncultured bacterium. Its description in RNAcentral is "partial 16S ribosomal RNA". It matches the Rfam family "Bacterial small subunit ribosomal RNA", at positions 28 to 507 of the family's 1533-position model. The record is from RNAcentral.
GACGAACGCUGGCGGCGUGCUUAACACAUGCAAGUCGAACGGAAAGACCCUGCUUUUGUGGGGUGCUCGAGUGGCGAACGGGUGAGUAACACGUGAGUAACCUGCCCUUGACUUUGGGAUAACUUCAGGAAACUGGGGCUAAUACCGGAUAGGAGCUCCUGCUGCAUGGUGGGGUUGGAAAGUUUCGGCGGUUGGGGAUGGACCCGCGGCUUAUCAGCGUGUUGGUGGGGUAGUGGCUUACCAAGGCUUUGGCCGGGUAGCGGCCUGAGAGGGGGACCGGCCACAUUGGGACUGAGAUACGGCCCAGACUCCUACGGGAGGCAGCAGUGGGGAAUAUUGCACAAUGGGCGGAAGCCUGAUGCAGCAACGCCGCGUGCGGGAUGACGGCCUUCGGGUUGUAAACCGCUUUCGCCUGUGACGAAGCGUGAGUGACGGUAAUGGGUAAAGAAGCACCGGCUAACUACGUG